CCUACGGGAGGCAGCAGUGGGGAAUAUUGCGCAAUGGGGGCAACCCUGACGCAGCCAUGCCGCGUGUGUGAAGAAGGCCCUAGGGUUGUAAAGCACUUUCAAUUGGGAAGAAAGGUUUGUAGUUAAUAACUGCAAGCUGUGACAUUACCUUUAGAAGAAGCACCGGCUAACUCCGUGCCAGCAGCCGCGGUAAU
RNAcentral lists this ribosomal RNA (194 nucleotides) under uncultured bacterium. RNAcentral describes it as "partial 16S ribosomal RNA". It matches the Rfam family "Bacterial small subunit ribosomal RNA", at positions 338 to 524 of the family's 1533-position model. The record is from RNAcentral.